AUUGAACGCUGGCGGCAGGCCUAACACAUGCAAGUCGAGCGGAUGAAGGGAGCUUGCUCCUGGAUUCAGCGGCGGACGGGUGAGUAAUGCCUAGGAAUCUGCCUGGUAGUGGGGGAUAACGUCCGGAAACGGGCGCUAAUACCGCAUACGUCCUGAGGGAGAAAGUGGGGGAUCUUCGGACCUCACGCUAUCAGAUGAGCCUAGGUCGGAUUAGCUAGUUGGUGGGGUAAAGGCCUACCAAGGCGACGAUCCGUAACUGGUCUGAGAGGAUGAUCAGUCACAAUAGAACUGAGACACGGUCCAGACUCCUACGGGAGGCAGCAGUGGGGAAUAUUGGACAAUGGGAGAAAGCCUGAUCCAGCCAUGCCGCGUGUGUGAAGAAGGUCUUCGGAUUGUAAAGCACUUUAAGUUGGGAGGAAGGGCAGUAAGUUAAUACCUUGCUGUUUUGACGUUACCAACAGAAUAAGCACCGGCUAACUUCGUG
Molecule: ribosomal RNA, 484 nt
Filed under: uncultured bacterium
Lineage: Bacteria
Description: partial 16S ribosomal RNA
Rfam family: Bacterial small subunit ribosomal RNA
Source: RNAcentral